AAGGCACCAGGGGCAAAGGUGAUCGACGGAAGGGUAAUCAUGACGGAAGGGAAUAAGAAUUCUGAUGACAAAUCUGUGAAGAAGGAAUCACCAGUGCCACCAGUGGCAGAAGUGAACAAACCAAGUCUAAUCAUCACGGGAGGGAAUAAUACGAGUUCUGAUGACAAAUCUGGAACUUCGGUUGUCAAGGUGGAUGAUAAGAGCAAGGAGAAAAAGAAGACCUGCAAAAAUGAUGAAGGUAAAGGCAAGGCAAACUAGUGAUUGGUAUAUGAGAUUGAGGCAUGAAUCUUACAUGUUAGCGACGAACGCUAUUUUAAGUUUUUAAAUGUUUUAUUUUGGAUUUAAAUAUUUAUGUUUUGGUUUUGAACUUGGAACAAAUUACUACUGUUGUUAUGGUUUUAUUUUGGUGUGUCGGAUAUUUUUAUUUUAAAUAAAGAGAUUUCAUGCCUA
This is a long non-coding RNA of Humulus lupulus (European hop), 450 nucleotides long. RefSeq lists it as uncharacterized. The transcript is spliced from 4 exons. Lineage: Eukaryota; Viridiplantae; Streptophyta; Magnoliopsida; Rosales; Cannabaceae. The record is from RefSeq and is a predicted model, not a curated record.